GACGAACGCUGGCGGCGUGCUUAACACAUGCAAGUCGAACGGAAAGGCCCUUCGGGGUACUCGAGUGGCGAACGGGUGAGUAACACGUGGGUGAUCUGCCCUGCACUUUGGGAUAAGCCUGGGAAACUGGGUCUAAUACCGAAUAUGAUCAUCGGCUUCAUGGUCGGUGGUGGAAAGCUUUUGCGGGGUGGGAUGGGCCCGCGGCCUAUCAGCUUGUUGGUGGGGUAAUGGCCUACCAAGGCGACGACGGGUAGCCGGCCUGCGAGGGUGACCGGCCACACUGGGACUGAGAUACGGCCCAGACUCCUACGGGAGGCAGCAGUGGGGAAUAUUGCACAAUGGGCGCAAGCCUGAUGCAGCGACGCCGCGUGAGGGAUGACGGCCUUCGGGUUGUAAACCUCUUUCAGCACAGACGAAGCGCAAGUGACGGUAUGUGCAGAAGAAGGACCGGCCAACUACGUG
Molecule: ribosomal RNA, 462 nt
Filed under: uncultured bacterium
Lineage: Bacteria
Description: partial 16S ribosomal RNA
Rfam family: Bacterial small subunit ribosomal RNA
Source: RNAcentral